CCUACGGGGGGCUGCAGUGGGGAAUAUUGGACAAUGGGGGGAACCCUGAUCCAGCCAUGCCGCGUGUGUGAAGAAGGCCCUCGGGUUGUAAAGCACUUUCAGUGAGGAAGAACGCCUGGUGGUUAAUACCCAUCAGGAAAGACAUCACUCACAGAAGAAGCACCGGCUAACUCCGUGCCAGCAGCCGCGGUAAUACGGAGGGUGCGAGCGUUAAUCGGAAUUACUGGGCGUAAAGCGCGCGUAGGUGGCUUGAUAAGCCGGUUGUGAAAGCCCCGGGCUCAACCUGGGAACGGCAUCCGGAACUGUCAAGCUAGAGUGCAGGAGAGGAAGGUAGAAUUCCCGGUGUAGCGGUGAAAUGCGUAGAGAUCGGGAGGAAUACCAGUGGCGAAGGCGGCCUUCUGGACUGACACUGACACUGAGGUGCGAAAGCGUGGGUAGCAUACAGGAUUAGAUACCCGUGUAGUC
This 465-nucleotide ribosomal RNA is filed under the name Vreelandella stevensii. RNAcentral's name for it is "partial 16S ribosomal RNA". It matches the Rfam family "Bacterial small subunit ribosomal RNA", at positions 338 to 795 of the family's 1533-position model. The record is from RNAcentral. Lineage: Bacteria; Pseudomonadati; Pseudomonadota; Gammaproteobacteria; Oceanospirillales; Halomonadaceae.